GGAAGCGUCUGGAAAGACGCGCGAUACAGGGUGACAGCCCCGUACACAAAAAUGCACAUGCUGUGAGCUCGAUGAGUAGGGCGGGACACGUGGUAUCCUGUCUGAAUAUGGGGGGACCAUCCUCCAAGGCUAAAUACUCCUGACUGACCGAUAGUGAACCAGUACCGUGAGGGAAAGGCGAAAAGAACCCCGGCGAGGGGAGUGAAAAAGAACCUGAAACCGUGUACGUACAAGCAGUGGGAGCACGCUUAGGCGUGUGACUGCGUACCUUUUGUAUAAUGGGUCAGCGACUUAUAUUCUGUAGCAAGGUUAACCGAAUAGGGGAGCCGAAGGGAAACCGAGUCUUAACUGGGCGUUAAGUUGCAGGGUAUAGACCCGAAACCCGGUGAUCUAGCCAUGGGCAGGUUGAAGGUUGGGUAACACUAACUGGAGGACCGAACCGACUAAUGUUGAAAAAUUAGCGGAUGACUUGUGGCUGGGGGUGAAAGGCCAAUCAAACCGGGAGAUAGCUGGUUCUCCCCGAAAGCUAUUUAGGUAGCGCCUCGUGAAUUCAUCUCCGGGGGUAGAGCACUGUUUCGGCAAGGGGGUCAUCCCGACUUACCAACCCGAUGCAAACUGCGAAUACCGGAGAAUGUUAUCACGGGAGACACACGGCGGGUGCUAACGUCCGUCGUGAAGAGGGAAACAACCCAGACCGCCAGCUAAGGUCCCAAAGUCAUGGUUAAGUGGGAAACGAUGUGGGAAGGCCCAGACAGCCAGGAUGUUGGCUUAGAAGCAGCCAUCAUUUAAAGAAAGCGUAAUAGCUCACUGGUCGAGUCGGCCUGCGCGGAAGAUGUAACGGGGCUAAACCAUGCACCGAAGCUGCGGCAGCGACGCUGAUGCGUUGUUGGGUAGGGGAGCGUUCUGUAAGCCUGUGAAGGUGUGCUGUGAGGCAUGCUGGAGGUAUCAGAAGUGCGAAUGCUGACAUAAGUAACGAUAAAGCGGGUGAAAAGCCCGCUCGCCGGAAGACCAAGGGUUCCUGUCCAACGUUAAUCGGGGCAGGGUGAGUCGACCCCUAAGGCGAGGCCGAAAGGCGUAGUCGAUGGGAAACAGGUUAAUAUUCCUGUACUUGGUGUUACUGCGAAGGGGGGACGGAGAAGGCUAUGUUGGCCGGGCGACGGUUGUCCCGGUUUAAGCGUGUAGGCUGGUUUUCCAGGCAAAUCCGGAAAAUCAAGGCUGAGGCGUGAUGACGAGGCACUACGGUGCUGAAGCAACAAAUGCCCUGCUUCCAGGAAAAGCCUCUAAGCAUCAGGUAACAUCAAAUCGUACCCCAAACCGACACAGGUGGUCAGGUAGAGAAUACCAAGGCGCUUGAGAGAACUCGGGUGAAGGAACUAGGCAAAAUGGUGCCGUAACUUCGGGAGAAGGCACGCUGAUAUGUAGGUGAAGUCCCUCGCGGAUGGAGCUGAAAUCAGUCGAAGAUACCAGCUGGCUGCAACUGUUUAUUAAAAACACAGCACUGUGCAAACACGAAAGUGGACGUAUACGGUGUGACGCCUGCCCGGUGCCGGAAGGUUAAUUGAUGGGGUUAGCCGCAAGGCGAAGCUCUUGAUCGAAGCCCCGGUAAACGGCGGCCGUAACUAUAACGGUCCUAAGGUAGCGAAAUUCCUUGUCGGGUAAGUUCCGACCUGCACGAAUGGCGUAAUGAUGGCCAGGCUGUCUCCACCCGAGACUCAGUGAAAUUGAACUCGCUGUGAAGAUGCAGUGUACCCGCGGCAAGACGGAAAGACCCCGUGAACCUUUACUAUAGCUUGACACUGAACAUUGAGCCUUGAUGUGUAGGAUAGGUGGGAGGCUUUGAAGUGUGGACGCCAGUCUGCAUGGAGCCGACCUUGAAAUACCACCCUUUAAUGUUUGAUGUUCUAACGUUGACCCGUAAUCCGGGUUGCGGACAGUGUCUGGUGGGUAGUUUGACUGGGGCGGUCUCCUCCUAAAGAGUAACGGAGGAGCACGAAGGUUGGCUAAUCCUGGUCGGACAUCAGGAGGUUAGUGCAAUGGCAUAAGCCAGCUUGACUGCGAGCGUGACGGCGCGAGCAGGUGCGAAAGCAGGUCAUAGUGAUCCGGUGGUUCUGAAUGGAAGGGCCAUCGCUCAACGGAUAAAAGGUACUCCGGGGAUAACAGGCUGAUACCGCCCAAGAGUUCAUAUCGACGGCGGUGUUUGGCACCUCGAUGUCGGCUCAUCACAUCCUGGGGCUGAAGUAGGUCCCAAGGGUAUGGCUGUUCGCCAUUUAAAGUGGUACGCGAGCUGGGUUUAGAACGUCGUGAGACAGUUCGGUCCCUAUCUGCCGUGGGCGCUGGAGAACUGAGGGGGGCUGCUCCUAGUACGAGAGGACCGGAGUGGACGCAUCACUGGUGUUCGGGUUGUCAUGCCAAUGGCACUGCCCGGUAGCUAAAUGCGGAAGAGAUAAGUGCUGAAAGCAUCUAAGCACGAAACUUGCCCCGAGAUGAGUUCUCCCUGACCCUUUAAGGGUCCUGAAGGAACGUUGAAGACGACGACGUUGAUAGGCCGGGUGUGUAAGCGCAGCGAUGCGUUGAGCUAACCGGUACUAAUGAACCGUGAGGCUUAACCUU
Molecule: ribosomal RNA, 2610 nt
Filed under: Escherichia coli 1-392-07_S3_C2
Lineage: Bacteria; Pseudomonadati; Pseudomonadota; Gammaproteobacteria; Enterobacterales; Enterobacteriaceae
Description: bacterial LSU rRNA
Rfam family: Bacterial large subunit ribosomal RNA
Source: RNAcentral